GACGAACGCUGGCGGCGUGCUUAACACAUGCAAGUCGCACGAAGUGGCGAACGGGUGAGUAAUACGUGGGUAACCUGCCCUCCUUUUGGGGAUAAGCCUUGGAAACGGGGUCUAAUACCGAAUCAAGGGGGAUGGGCUAGCGGCCAAUCAGCUUGUUGGUGGGGUGAUGGCCUACCAAGGCGGUGACGGGGAGCAGGCGUGAGAGGUGGACAGGUGACAUAGGAAAUGAGAUACGGCCCAGACUCCUACGGGAGGGAGCAGAGGGGAAUAGUGCACAAUGGGCGAAAGCCUGAUGAAGCGAGGCUGCGUGGAGAUUGAAAGCUUGCGGUUUGUAAACGUAUUUCACUAUCGAAAAGGUAGGUGGAGAAGAAGAGCCGGCUAACUACGUGCCAGCAGACGCGGUAAUUG
RNAcentral lists this ribosomal RNA (408 nucleotides) under uncultured bacterium. RNAcentral describes it as "partial 16S ribosomal RNA". It matches the Rfam family "Bacterial small subunit ribosomal RNA", at positions 28 to 527 of the family's 1533-position model. The record is from RNAcentral.